Long non-coding RNA from Alnus glutinosa, 429 nucleotides. RefSeq lists it as uncharacterized. The transcript has 3 exons. The record is from RefSeq and is a predicted model, not a curated record. Lineage: Eukaryota; Viridiplantae; Streptophyta; Magnoliopsida; Fagales; Betulaceae.
CUCUCCCUCUCCGUCCACCGACCACCGCCCUCCGGUGUCUUCUCCGGCCAGCUCCCUCUCCGGCCGUCACUGCACCACGCGUGUUGGCCCAAUAGGUACAUUUUGGCUAAGGAGCAUACAAAUCACUCAAAAAAAAAUAUUUGUUUCGAUGGACCAGAGACCCCCUACUUGCGCACAUCGUGCACCACGCCUACCCGUGCCUUGCACGACUACAUCCACACCGGCGAUGUCAGCGGCACUACAUACCACACCGUGGCCACACCACCCGGACGCCGUUUACAGACCAUUGCCCCCGGGUACGGCGGGGAUGAGCAGGUCAGAUCCCGGGCAGACGAGCACAACUGGAUAUUCUCCUUCUCUAUACCCGCCUACGUCCACACCGGCGAUGUCAGCGGCACUACAUACUACACCCUGGCCACACCACCCGGA